This is an RNA transcript of Prosopis cineraria, 1179 nucleotides long. RefSeq lists it as uncharacterized. NCBI's taxonomy places the organism in Eukaryota, Viridiplantae, Streptophyta, Magnoliopsida, Fabales, Fabaceae. The record is from RefSeq and is a predicted model, not a curated record. The transcript is spliced from 7 exons.
GGAGAUUGCGGAUUGCAAAAUCUUCAACAAUCUUUCAAUCAAUUGUAAAUCUGCAAUACACCUCUUGAAUUGAAGUUUUUUUCUCAAAAUUUUCACCACUUGAUCUUCAGCGCCGAUUUUCCCAUUCCUUGAUUCGCCUGCUCACUGCCUGAUGCCUGAGUUCAGUGCCGCUCCAGUUUCUUAGCUUUUCUCCUUCAGCUACUGACUGUCUUUGACUCGUAGCUUUCCCCCUUGUACCAGAAAACGUUCUUUAGGGUCCUUCCUACGUUCCACUGAUCUCUGAUCUUCAUCACCAUGGGCAACACUUCCUCUAUGCUCACGCAGUACGACAUCGAAGAGGUCCAGCAACACUGUAACUACACUUUUACGCAGCAGGAGAUCGUUUCCCUGUACGAGAGAUUCUGUCAGUUAGAUCGAAAUAGCUCUGGUUUUAUUACCGCUGACGAAUUUUUGUCCCUCCCCGAAUUCGCCGUCAAUCCUCUCUCUCAGAGAUUGUUAAGGCUGCUGGAUGGAUUGAACUUCAAGGAAUUUGUAGCGUUCUUAUCUGCAUUUAGUCCUCGUGCGACCUUACAGCAUAAAAUUGAAUUUAUUUUCAAGGUAUAUGACACAGACUGCAAUGGAAAAGUGAGCUUCAAUGACAUGUUGGACGUCUUACGAGAUUUGACAGGACAGUUCAUAUCUGAACACCAGAGAGAGCAAGUUCUAGCACAAGUCCUCGAGGAAGCAGGCUAUAAAAAGGAUUCAUUGUUGGUCUUGUCUGACUUCAUGAAGAUUCUUGGCAACUCAGGUUUGAAAAUGGAAGUUGAAGUUCCUGUUGAUUAACAUGAGAGUAGAAGUUGAACAUGGGUUUCCCAAAUCCACAACAAAAUAGUUUUAAGUUUGAUGUGGGCAUUUCUUGAACCUGAAUAUUGUCGUCAGCAAUUGUAUUCAUCGGGUCAAAAUUUGCAAUGCAUUCCACUCUGACCAAACUUGCUUGAUAAUUGAUAAUUGAUAAUUUUCUGGCGUUUGACACAUUGAGGGCCUCUAUGUGAAUAUUCUGUCCCAGAAUUUCUGGAUUUGCCUCUCGAUUGGGGUAGUUCUUGUGUUGGAACAAAAGCGUCUUUCUUCUGUUAAUAAGCUAAUGAUUCAAAUGACAUCAACCUUUUUUUAUAGAUUGAAGUAAGAUUUCAACGAGUUCAA